GAUGAACGCUGGCGGCGUGCCUAAUACAUGCAAGUCGAGCGAACAGACGAGGAGCUUGCUCCUCUGACGUUAGCGGCGGACGGGUGAGUAACACGUGGAUAACCUACCUAUAAGACUGGGAUAACUUCGGGAAACCGGAGCUAAUACCGGAUAAUAUAUUGAACCGCAUGGUUCAAUAGUGAAAGACGGUUUUGCUUUCACUUAUAGAUGGAUCCGCGCCGCAUUAGCUAGUUGGUAAGGUAACGGCUUACCAAGGCAACGAUGCGUAGCCGACCUGAGAGGGUGAUCGGCCACACUGGAACUGAGACACGGUCCAGACUCCUACGGGAGGCAGCAGUAGGGAAUCUUCCGCAAUGGGCGAAAGCCUGACGGAGCAACGCCGCGUGAGUGAUGAAGGUCUUCGGAUCGUAAAACUCUGUUAUUAGGGAAGAACAAAUGUGUAAGUAACUAUGCACGGCUUGACGGUACCUAAUCAGAAAGCCACGGCUAACUACGUG
Molecule: ribosomal RNA, 497 nt
Filed under: uncultured bacterium
Lineage: Bacteria
Description: partial 16S ribosomal RNA
Rfam family: Bacterial small subunit ribosomal RNA
Source: RNAcentral